GAUGUUUAGCAUACAUGUUUGGCAUACAAAUGCUACUAAAUUGGGUUAAUUAGGGUUUUUGUACCUUAUGUGGUUCCUCAUGACCACACAAACUUAACUGAUAGAUUAUUGAUAAAGAAAGUAAAUUAUUCCUAAACAGCGAUAUUGUUAACAUUGAACAAUGU
Molecule: long non-coding RNA, 164 nt
Organism: Sander lucioperca (pikeperch)
Lineage: Eukaryota; Metazoa; Chordata; Actinopteri; Perciformes; Percidae
Exons: 3
Source: RefSeq, a predicted model, not a curated record